UACGUAGGGUGCAAGCGUUAAUCGGAAUUACUGGGCGUAAAGCGUGCGCAGGCGGCUUCGCAAGACAGAUGUGAAAUCCCCGGGCUUAACCUGGGAACUGCAUUUGCGACUGCAUGGCUGGAGUGCGGCAGAGGGGGAUGGAAUUCCGCGUGUAGCAGUGAAAUGCGUAGAUAUGCGGAGGAACACCGAUGGCGAAGGCAAUCCCCUGGGCCUGCACUGACGCUCAUGCACGAAAGCGUGGGGAGCAAACAGG
RNAcentral lists this ribosomal RNA (253 nucleotides) under uncultured bacterium. RNAcentral describes it as "partial 16S ribosomal RNA". It matches the Rfam family "Bacterial small subunit ribosomal RNA", at positions 524 to 776 of the family's 1533-position model. The record is from RNAcentral.